Molecule: ribosomal RNA, 493 nt
Filed under: uncultured bacterium
Lineage: Bacteria
Description: bacterial SSU rRNA
Rfam family: Bacterial small subunit ribosomal RNA
Source: RNAcentral
GAUGAACGCUAGCGGAAGGCUUAAUACAUGCAAGUCGAGCGGUAGGUGGCUUCGGCCAUUGAGAGCGGCGCACGGGUGAGUAACGCGUACAUGACCUGCCUGUCAGAAGGGGAUAGCCCUGGGAAACUGGGAUUAAUACCCUAUGGUAUUGAUAUUAUGAAUGAUAUCAAUUAAAGUUGAGGCGCUGACAGAUGGAUGUGCGUCUGAUUAGCUAGUUGGUAGGGUAACGGCCUACCAAGGCGACGAUCAGUAGGGGGCGUGAGAGCGUGGUCCCCCCACACGGGUACUGAGACACGGACCCGACUCCUACGGGAGGCAGCAGUAAGGAAUAUUGGUCAAUGCCCGCAAGGGUGAACCAGCCAUUCCGCGUGGAGGAUGAAGGCCCUAUGGGUUGUAAACUUCUUUUAGAUGGGAAGAAAUGCUAGAUGUAUCUGGUACUGACGGUACCAUCAGAAUAAGCACCGGCUAACUCCGUGCCAGCAGCCGCGGUAAU